UACGUAGGGGGCAAGCGUUAUCCGGAUUUACUGGGUGUAAAGGGAGCGUAGGCGGUUCAGCAAGUCAGAAGUGAAAGCCCGGGGCUCAACUCCGGGACUGCUUUUGAAACUGUUGAACUAGAUUGCAGGAGAGGUAAGUGGAAUUCCUAGUGUAGCGGUGAGAUGCGUAGAUAUUAGGAGGAACACCAGUGGCGAAGGCGGCCUGCUGGACGAUGACUGACGUUGAGGCUCGAAAGCGUGGGGAGCAAACAGG
Molecule: ribosomal RNA, 253 nt
Filed under: uncultured bacterium
Lineage: Bacteria
Description: partial 16S ribosomal RNA
Rfam family: Bacterial small subunit ribosomal RNA
Source: RNAcentral